UGAUACAGUUUAGGACCAUAUUCACUAUUUGAUGAUUAACAAAAUAUGAUCAUCACCUUUUACUCUUUGAGCAAGUAGUGAAAAUGGUUCUAAAUUGUUUUGGA
RNAcentral lists this microRNA precursor (104 nucleotides) under Nicotiana tabacum (common tobacco). RNAcentral describes it as "miR6153 stem-loop (nta-MIR6153)". Lineage: Eukaryota; Viridiplantae; Streptophyta; Magnoliopsida; Solanales; Solanaceae. The record is from miRBase by way of RNAcentral.